This 274-nucleotide ribosomal RNA is filed under the name uncultured bacterium. RNAcentral's name for it is "partial 16S ribosomal RNA". It matches the Rfam family "Bacterial small subunit ribosomal RNA", at positions 523 to 796 of the family's 1533-position model. The record is from RNAcentral.
AUACGGAGGGUGCAAGCGUUAUCCGGAAUCAUUGGGUUUAAAGGGUCCGUAGGCGGACUAAUAAGUCAGGGGUGAAAUCCCACAGCUUAACUGUGGAACUGCCUUUGAUACUGUUAGUCUUGAGUUAUAUGGAAGUAGAUAGAAUGUGUAGUGUAGCGGUGAAAUGCUUAGAGAUUACACAGAAUACCGAUUGCGAAGGCAGUCUACUAUAUAUAUACUGACGCUAAUGGACGAAAGCGUGGGGAGCGAACAGGAUUAGAAACCCCAGUAGUCC